This 253-nucleotide ribosomal RNA is filed under the name uncultured bacterium. Its description in RNAcentral is "partial 16S ribosomal RNA". It matches the Rfam family "Bacterial small subunit ribosomal RNA", at positions 524 to 776 of the family's 1533-position model. The record is from RNAcentral.
UACGUAGGUGACAAGCGUUGUCCGGAUUUAUUGGGCGUAAAGAGCGCGCAGGCGGUCGUUCAAGUCGGGUGUGAAAGCCCCCGGCUCAACUGGGGAGGGUCAUUCGAUACUGAUCGACUCGAAGGCAGGAGAGGGUAGUGGAAUUCCCGGUGUAGUGGUGAAAUGCGUAGAUAUCUGGAGGAACACCGGUGGCGAAGGCGGCAUUCUGGACUGUAACUGACACUGAUGAACGAAAGCCAGGGGAGCAAACGGG